Molecule: ribosomal RNA, 745 nt
Filed under: Bacillus altitudinis
Lineage: Bacteria; Bacillati; Bacillota; Bacilli; Caryophanales; Bacillaceae
Description: bacterial SSU rRNA
Rfam family: Bacterial small subunit ribosomal RNA
Source: RNAcentral
GCAAGUCGAGCGGACAGAAGGGAGCUUGCUCCCGGAUGUUAGCGGCGGACGGGUGAGUAACACGUGGGUAACCUGCCUGUAAGACUGGGAUAACUCCGGGAAACCGGAGCUAAUACCGGAUAGUUCCUUGAACCGCAUGGUUCAAGGAUGAAAGACGGUUUCGGCUGUCACUUACAGAUGGACCCGCGGCGCAUUAGCUAGUUGGUGAGGUAACGGCUCACCAAGGCGACGAUGCGUAGCCGACCUGAGAGGGUGAUCGGCCACACUGGGACUGAGACACGGCCCAGACUCCUACGGGAGGCAGCAGUAGGGAAUCUUCCGCAAUGGACGAAAGUCUGACGGAGCAACGCCGCGUGAGUGAUGAAGGUUUUCGGAUCGUAAAGCUCUGUUGUUAGGGAAGAACAAGUGCAAGAGUAACUGCUUGCACCUUGACGGUACCUAACCAGAAAGCCACGGCUAACUACGUGCCAGCAGCCGCGGUAAUACGUAGGUGGCAAGCGUUGUCCGGAAUUAUUGGGCGUAAAGGGCUCGCAGGCGGUUUCUUAAGUCUGAUGUGAAAGCCCCCGGCUCAACCGGGGAGGGUCAUUGGAAACUGGGAAACUUGAGUGCAGAAGAGGAGAGUGGAAUUCCACGUGUAGCGGUGAAAUGCGUAGAGAUGUGGAGGAACACCAGUGGCGAAGGCGACUCUCUGGUCUGUAACUGACGCUGAGGAGCGAAAGCGUGGGGAGCGAACAGGAUUAGAUAC